AGAGAUAAAGGAAAGCAGAUUUUAGCAUAGUUGAUCAUUUGGGUUUUGGAUUUAUUUGAUUAGGAAACAAUAAAGUGCUUGGAGAUCUAUCAGUAGUGUCACAAAGAAACCAUUUUCUUAAAAUGAUACAGGUCACAGGUGACCUGGGCUUAAAGGAGUCAUCAUUAUAAAUCCUACUAUCCUUCUCCAUGGUAGAGAGAUUCCCAAGAGUGCAUCCUAACGGAGACAGAGGCUCGCUACACGGCCUUGCUGACCCAGAUCCAGAGUCUGAUCGAUAACCUGGAGGCUCAGCUGGCAGAGAUCCGGUGUGCCCUGGAAAGACAGAACCAAGAAUAUGAGAUCCUGCUGGACGUCAAGUCCCGGCUGGAGUGUGAGAUUACCACAUACCGCAGCCUUCUGGAGAGCUUGGAUGGCAAGUGUCCCUGUUACCCGUGUGCCACCAAAUGUGAGCCUUCCCCUUGGGCAUCUUGUAAGUCCGGAGCCAUAGAAAGCAAGGCCCCAGCUUGCACAUCCUCAUCCCCCUGCAGCUUAAAGGAGCACUGCAGUGCCUGUGGACCCCUGUCCCGGAUACUGGUUAAAAUUUGCACCAUCACCAAGGAGAUUAAGGAUGGGAAGGUCAUUUCCUCUUACGAGCAUGUGCAGCCUUGUUUCAUCAUCAGACCUGCCAAAGUCUAACAUCCCAAGGUGAUGAAAAUGACACACAUUUAUGAAACAGAGGCCAAUACAUGCUCCUGCCAGAGAGGCUUAAGAAAACUCCCCAGUCCCUUAAGGUACUU
RNAcentral lists this small RNA (776 nucleotides) under Pongo abelii (Sumatran orangutan). Its description in RNAcentral is "retained intron". Lineage: Eukaryota; Metazoa; Chordata; Mammalia; Primates; Hominidae. The record is from RNAcentral.